This is a long non-coding RNA of Ctenopharyngodon idella (grass carp), 3050 nucleotides long. RefSeq lists it as uncharacterized. Lineage: Eukaryota; Metazoa; Chordata; Actinopteri; Cypriniformes; Xenocyprididae. The record is from RefSeq and is a predicted model, not a curated record. The transcript is spliced from 6 exons.
GUUCCUCAAAGAUGAGCAGCGGCCAUUGUAGUUCAGUGAUAAGUUACAGUGACAGUUCAUCAGAGAAGACCUCGCACAGCUCCAUAAAUGUCACUUCGUUGCCAAACACAGCAAAGCGAAGCAAGUACAACAAGAAACAAUAUUGUCUAUAUUGUAAUAAGGCCAUUUCUAAAUUGGCAAGACACCUCGAAUCCGCUCACAGUACACAGCUUGAUGUCGCAAAGGCUUUCAGUUUUAAGAAAAGAUCUCGCGAAAGAAAAGAUUUGUUACGCUCUCUUAAGAAGAGGGGAAACUUGUCUGUUUCCAAUGCCACUGUGGCAAGCAGUGGUGUUGGAGAAAUGGUUGCUUGUCGAAGACCCACUAGAGUCAGACAAUCUAAUGACUUCAGUCACUGCAAGUUUUGUCAAGGACUCUAUGCAAGAGAUAGUCUAUGGAGACAUGUCAGAAACUGCCCUCAGAAGUCUGUUGAGGUGGAGACUAGAGUUGGGCAAAAACGGAUCCACAUUGACCUACCAAAAGCUGAUACAGUUCAUGAUGCUGUUUGGAAGAUUGCUUGUGAAAUGAACCAGGAUGACAUUUCUUUAGUUGUAAGGAGUGAAAGAGACAUCCUUAGUCUUGGCGAGUCAAUGUACAAUGGCAGGAAACCAAAUGAGAAAAGAAAUGAUUACAUACGUCAAAAAAUGAGAUAGAUGGCUAGACUCUUGAUGACUGCAAGAGCUACAACACCUUUGAAGAGCACUGAAGACCUUGUUAUGCCCAGUAAUUUCCCCCACGUUAUACAAGCAGUGAGAUUUGUUGCUGGUUAUGACUUGGAUAGCAACUCAUAUAAAACCCCAUCAUUGGCUUUACAAUUGGGUCACAGUUUGGCUAAGGUUGCAGGCAUUGUGCAAUGCAAUGCCAUCAUUGCAAAUCGCAAUGCUGUUGCAGAGUCUGCCAAGCAAUUCUCCACUCUGUAUGAGAAAAGUUGGGCGGAAUCCAUUUCAAGUGCUGCACUGGGUACACUUCAUCAAGCCAAAUGGAAUAAACCACAUGUUUUGCCCUUUACACAGGAUGUGUCUCAGCUGCACAAGUUUCUUGCUACUGAGCAUGCUAAGUGCAUGAAGGACCUUGAGAAUGUGUACUUGUUUGCACGCCCAUGUGUGCUUUCCCAUUACAGAGGCUCUGACUGCUUCCGCAAGUAUUCAAAACGAUGUGGUGCAAAAAACCCAGAGUCACUCACCUCAACAAGAUUGAGGAAAUAAGUUGCCACUUUGUCAACAGUACUAAACUUAAAAGAAAGUGAAAUGGAUCAACUUGCUACCAUUCUAGGACAUGAUAUAAGGAUCCACAGGGAAUUCUAUCGGCUUCCAGAGAGUACCCUGCAGCUUGCAAAAGUUAGCAAACUGUUGAUAGCAAUGGAAAAAGGAAGACUGUCUGACCUGCAAGGGAAAGGGCUGGAUGACAUUGAGAUCAAUCCUGGAGAUGAAGUAGGCACGAGUGAUGAUGAUUCCAGUGAAUAAACCAUUGCUGACCUACAUCAACAUGAAGGCUUAAGAACUGAGACUUCUGGGGAUCGGACACUUCUGAGGCACUCGCAUGCUUCAACCACCCUGGAUCAUUUGGGGGGCACUUCUGCCUCAACCGUCUUGGACAACGUAAAUGUCAGCAACACUCAACCAAGACAUGAUUCCCAGCAGAACACAGCACUUCAAGUGGUUACAUCCCAAACUUCUUCAAAGCGCUCCACUGCAAAGCAAGCUGGGAAGGUGAGGAGCAAGUGGACAGGUAAUGAAGUGAAGGCUGUGGAGCGGCACAUGAUUCAUUUCAUAACCAGCUGCACGGUGCCAGGUAAAAGGACUGUGACUCCUGCCUCCAGGCAGAACCAAUGGCUCUGAAAGACAGAGACUGGGUUGCAAUCAAAUACUACAUUCACAACAGAAUCAUAUCAAUGAAAAGGAAGAUGAAUAGAUAGAACUAGAACAUGCCAACUGUGGCUCAGGUGCAAUUUAAUUUCUGUUGAACUUAUAAAAUUGCUCACUGUGUGCUGUUAUAAUCAGUGUCACCUUAGAUAUCCAGUGAAAAUGUUUGUAAUGGGUUUCGUUUUGAUAUUCUCAUUUUCAUUCAAGGAUUGCUAUUGAUGAUUUCUUGUACAAGCAUGCCACCUAGUUUUGACUGAAGCUGCCAUGUUGACAUGUAUUCAUGAGGGCUAUUGAUUGGUUUUUUUUUUUUUAUCUGUCACAGUUGGUUUCGUGUUUGGCUUCACGUUUGUUUUAGUGUCUCUUAUUUUGUAAUCUCGUCAUGUUUCAGUUCCCGGUCUUGUCAUGUGAUUCCCUUCUCAUCGUGUGAUCAUGCCAUAUGCUUCCCUAGUCUUGUGUUAUGUUCCUAUUGGUUGGUUUAGUUGUCAUAUCCUGAUUGGUUCCCUUGUUUUAUGUGUCUUGUUCUCAUUGGUUGUUGUAGUCAUGUGAUCCCGCUAGUCCUGUAUAAAUACUCCUCAUGUUUCCAUAGUCUCUUGUGGAGUAUUGUGAUUGUUUUCUGUAACCGCUGCUGGUGAGUUCGCUGACAAGUCUGUUCCAAGUCAUGUCUGUUCAUGGUUCCUGCUUCAGGUCUGUUCCUGCUUCAGGUCUGUUCCUGCUUCAAGUCUGUUCAUGCUUCAAGUCUGUUCCUGCUUCAAGUCUGUUCAUGCUUCAAGUCAAGUCUGUUCUGGUCAAGUCAUUGUUUAUGUUGUAUCUGUUCACGUUUGGAAAUAAACUGCACAUGGGUUCAUCACUUCAACUUGCCUUCAGUGGACCUACGUUACAUUAUCCCCACCCUAUAGACACUAUUUUUUUUUUCUUACUACUUCAGGAUCAUAUCAUAAUGCAUUGUUUCAAGUAACUGACAUAAUUUCUUUCAUAGAAUAAGGUUUAAAAGUAUAUGUAAUCUAUACCCUCAGUGUCAACAAGCAAGUACUUAAAGGGAUUGUUACUUUCACACAUAUUUCCCAGGUUUUCAGUGUUGCUUUGUUUUUGCACAAGUUGUUUAAUGUGCUCUUUCAGCUAUUGAAAAAUCCUUAUGAGUGGGUGUUACUUUUA